This 432-nucleotide ribosomal RNA is filed under the name uncultured bacterium. RNAcentral describes it as "bacterial SSU rRNA". It matches the Rfam family "Bacterial small subunit ribosomal RNA", at positions 335 to 759 of the family's 1533-position model. The record is from RNAcentral.
ACUCCUACGGGAGGCAGCAGUGGGGAAUAUUGCACAAUGGGCGCAAGCCUGAUGCAGCCAUGCCGCGUGUGUGAAGAAGGCCUUCGGGUUGUAAAGCACUUUCAGUCGUGAGGAAGGUAGUGUAGUUAAUAGCUGCAUUAUUUGACGUUAGCGACAGAAGAAGCACCGGCUAACUCCGUGCCAGCAGCCGCGGUAAUACGGAGGGUGCGAGCGUUAAUCGGAAUUACUGGGCGUAAAGCGCAUGCAGGUGGUUUGUUAAGUCAGAUGUGAAAGCCCGGGGCUCAACCUCGGAAUAGCAUUUGAAACUGGCAGACUAGAGUACUGUAGAGGGGGGUAGAAUUUCAGGUGUAGCGGUGAAAUGCGUAGAGAUCUGAAGGAAUACCGGUGGCGAAGGCGGCCCCCUGGACAGAUACUGACACUCAGAUGCGAAAG